RNAcentral lists this ribosomal RNA (484 nucleotides) under uncultured bacterium. RNAcentral's name for it is "partial 16S ribosomal RNA". It matches the Rfam family "Bacterial small subunit ribosomal RNA", at positions 30 to 507 of the family's 1533-position model. The record is from RNAcentral.
AUUGAACGCUGGCGGCAGGCCUAACACAUGCAAGUCGAGCGGAUGAAGGGAGCUUGCUCCUGGAUUCAGCGGCGGACGGGUGAGUAAUGCCUAGGAAUCUGCCUGGUAGUGGGGGAUAACGUCCGGAAACGGGCGCUAAUACCGCAUACGUCCUGAGGGAGAAAGUGGGGGAUCUUCGGACCUCACGCUAUCAGAUGAGCCUAGGUCGGAUUAGCUAGUUGGUGGGGUAAAGGCCUACCAAGGCGACGAUCCGUGACUGGUCUGAGAGGAUGAUCAGUCACACUAGAACUGAGACACGGUCCAGACUCCGACGGGAGGCAGCAGUGGGGAAUAUUGGACGAUGGGCGAAAGCCUGAUCCAGCCAUGCCGCGUGUGGGAAGAAGGUCUUCGGAUUGUAAAGCACUUUAAGUUGGGAGGAAGGGCAGUAAGUUAAUACCUUGCUGUUUAGACGUUACCAACAGAAUAAGCACCGGCUAACUUCGUG